CUGGGAUGGACUGAGUCUUGGAUUAAAGGCUGAGACAACCUUGGUCCUGGAGAUGCAAUUUAUGGAGGCCUUUGAGUGAUUGCUGUAUUGCUGCUAAAGAGGGCCCAAAACUUGAAUAUUGUUUAAAGCCAAAUCAAUAUCCUCUUCAAUGUGAUCUUCAAGCGUGAAAUAGGACACGGGCUUUCACUUAUUUUAUACAAGUAGUACCGGUUUUCUAGGACUUGCUUACCUGGUGACCAAAACCAUGUACUGACAAUAUGACAGUGUGAUUUCCUGUGCCAAGAAAUAAAACCAAUUUGCCCUCCUCUUGAUAUGGGCUGGUCUUGUGAUCUGCUUUGACCAACAGAAUGGGCACAGUGAUUCUGGGUCACUCAUGAAUCUGGGCCUUCAAAGAGCUACAGCUUCUGCCUUUGCCUUUUGGAACAUUUUUUCUUGGAAUCUGGCUAUCCUGAUGCGAGGGAGCCCAAUUAACAUCAGA
Herpailurus yagouaroundi (jaguarundi) is the source of this 478-nucleotide long non-coding RNA. RefSeq lists it as uncharacterized. NCBI's taxonomy places the organism in Eukaryota, Metazoa, Chordata, Mammalia, Carnivora, Felidae. The transcript is spliced from 3 exons. The record is from RefSeq and is a predicted model, not a curated record.